Molecule: long non-coding RNA, 1950 nt
Filed under: Trifolium pratense (red clover)
Lineage: Eukaryota; Viridiplantae; Streptophyta; Magnoliopsida; Fabales; Fabaceae
Description: long non-coding RNA (TPRA_LNC001642)
Source: RNAcentral
CUAAGGAUGUUGAGUACAGUGUUACGGAUUUCAGUCUGAAAGAGGCGCCCUCUUGAUUUAAGGGUCGUGCAAAGUCGAGCUAACCGACUUUAAACAAAGCGCUGCGUGGGAGGCAACCCACGAGUUUUUUAAUCUAAUGUUUUUGUUUUUAUUUGAAUUUUACAGCAAAUAAAGAGUUUGAUCGCCUGACAAGCGUGAAUCUCCAGGUUUCGCGUUCCAAACCUUAGCAUGAUUCACAACAGUGAGGACACUGUUGGAUUUAAGUUUAGGGGAGGACUUUAUUGCUUUCAUUUACUUUCCAGUAUUAAUUUUACUUUUCUAGUUUCCCUUUCUUGCAAAUAAAUUUUUUUCGGUGUAUUUUUAAUUUUUCCAAAAUCCUGAGCCAUAACAAAAAUUUAUAAGAAACAAUACAAUUUUGAAAUUCCAGAGUCACAGACGUAAUCAAGAUUGAAUUUUCAAAUUAAGUGUAUUUUUCGUACCAGCUAUAUCAUUUUAACACCGUAAAUUUCUUAAUUAUGUAGACCAAUUUGGAUACUUGCUAGAAACUGAAUUUAAAUUUCUUGACACUUUACUAAUCCUUGAGUAAGCCUAUAGGUAGUCGGCACCAUCUAUGAUCACUAUCUAAGUAGUUGAGUCGACGAAUAUAAGUGAAUGACUUUGAAUGAAUAAAUAAAAAUGAAAAUCAAGGAUGUAUAAAUCUGAAAAGGGACUACGCACUCUAAGUUAGAUGACUCUUACCCGGUCAUUUAGCCCAACUGUGAAAUACCUCAAAGACAUAAAAAUAUCCUAUGAUAUAAAAAGAGAAAAAUGAGCAACUUGAGAAAGAAUCGGGUCAUAAUCACUAACAGACUCACUACCAUGUGUGUGUGAAUAGAUAACGGGCUUAAUGUGAUUACCAUGGUCGAAAAAGGAUAACUGAAGUAGAAAUGAAAGUUAAGUUCAGAUAUAGUAAAAUAAUUCGGAACGGUCUAUAUAAGGAAGAAAUUCAUGUUCAUGUUUGAUUUGUGUUUCCAUGAUAUUUUUGGUACGAUAAAUAAAUUAAUUUGUCUAAUUUGGUCGAGAUUAAAAACAUGACUAUUGGAAAAUCUUCUUGUUUUGUUUUCUCUAUCACUAAAUUAUAUUCUUUUUGCUUGAGGACAAGCAAUGGUUCAAGUUUAGGGGAGUUUGAUAACACCGAAAAAUGCACUAUUUAUUUAAUAAAAUUAGGUUAGUAUUUUACUAUUUCUUUGCAUUUUUCGUAGUAAUAUUACUAUUAUUUUUAUGUAUUUCAGGAAUGUCCGGAAGCUACCAAAUAAUUUAUAAGUUACAAAAUAAAUGCUAAUAAAGAAUUGGAUCGAAUCAGAAAGUAAAAAAGGAGGUGAAGGCCGCACAAGUGCAGCCUAAAUGAGCCACACAAGUGCAGCCCAAAACAAACAACCAAGCCCAAUCACAAGAAAUAUAUGGCGCACGUCAUACCUCCACCCACACAUUUGCUAUUUAAUAGCAACACAAGAAUCACAUGCACUAUGUGACACCCACCACAUUUGCUAAUUAAUAGAGCACCUGUGCGCCAUACACUAUGUGGCACCCGCCACCUCAUCCACUUCCUUCAGAAUAGCACGCAGCAACGCAUCAAGGGAUUAACAGGAAAAAUAUCUCCUCAGUCUAUAAAUAGAGAUCCAUCUCUCACUUUAAAGGCAACGCUUCAUUACUAGAAUUUAAGAGCAGAUAGUAAAUAUUUUACUUCCUUGUUUUCAAUUCAGUUUAGCAUUCAAGCUUGUUCCGGUGACAUUAUUUUCAAUUCCAGUUUAUUAAGGUUCUAAUCUCUUGUUCUAUUUAUCUUAUUUUAUUUAUUUGUUACAAUUUGUUCACUGUUCUUUUAAUUCAGUCACUGUUUGUUCAAGUUUUACAUCUUCCAGUACCUAUAGUUACUUUAUUUAUGUUAAUGUUUAUUUAUUUAAUUAUUAUGUU